CCUACGGGGGGCUGCAGUGGGGAAUAUUGGACAAUGGGGGGAACCCUGAUCCAGCCAUGCCGCGUGUGUGAAGAAGGCCCUCGGGUUGUAAAGCACUUUCAGUGAGGAAGAACGCCUGGUGGUUAAUACCCAUCAGGAAAGACAUCACUCACAGAAGAAGCACCGGCUAACUCCGUGCCAGCAGCCGCGGUAAUACGGAGGGUGCGAGCGUUAAUCGGAAUUACUGGGUGUAAAGCGCGCGUAGGUGGCUUGAUAAGCCGGUUGUGAAAGCCCCGGGCUCAACCUGGGAACGGCAUCCGGAACUGUCAAGCUAGAGUGCAGGAGAGGAAGGUAGAAUUCCCGGUGUAGCGGUGAAAUGCGUAGAGAUCGGGAGGAAUACCAGUGGCGAUGGCGGCCUUCUGGACUGACACUGACACUGAGGUGCGAAAGCGUGGGUAGCAAACAGGAUUAGAUACCCCAGUAGUC
RNAcentral lists this ribosomal RNA (465 nucleotides) under Vreelandella stevensii. RNAcentral's name for it is "partial 16S ribosomal RNA". It matches the Rfam family "Bacterial small subunit ribosomal RNA", at positions 338 to 795 of the family's 1533-position model. Lineage: Bacteria; Pseudomonadati; Pseudomonadota; Gammaproteobacteria; Oceanospirillales; Halomonadaceae. The record is from RNAcentral.